Molecule: ribosomal RNA, 735 nt
Filed under: Salmonella enterica
Lineage: Bacteria; Pseudomonadati; Pseudomonadota; Gammaproteobacteria; Enterobacterales; Enterobacteriaceae
Description: partial 23S ribosomal RNA
Rfam family: Bacterial large subunit ribosomal RNA
Source: RNAcentral
GGUUAAGCGACUAAGCGUACACGGUGGAUGCCCUGGCAGUCAGAGGCGAUGAAGGGCGUGCUAAUCUGCGAUAAGCGCCGGUAAGGUGAUAUGAACCGUUAUAACCGGCGAUACCCGAAUGGGGAAACCCAGUGUGAUUCGUCACACUAUCAUUAACUGAAUCCAUAGGUUAAUGAGGCGAACCGGGGGAACUGAAACAUCUAAGUACCCCGAGGAAAAGAAAUCAACCGAGAUUCCCCCAGUAGCGGCGAGCGAACGGGGAGGAGCCCAGAGCCUGAAUCAGCAUGUGUGUUAGUGGAAGCGUCUGGAAAGGCGCGCGAUACAGGGUGACAGCCCCGUACACAAAAGCGCAUGUGCUGUGAGCUCGAUGAGUAGGGCGGGACACGUGGUAUCCUGUCUGAAUAUGGGGGGACCAUCCUCCAAGGCUAAAUACUCCUGACUGACCGAUAGUGAACCAGUACCGUGAGGGAAAGGCGAAAAGAACCCCGGCGAGGGGAGUGAAAAAGAACCUGAAACCGUGUACGUACAAGCAGUGGGAGCACCCUUUGGGGUGUGACUGCGUACCUUUUGUAUAAUGGGUCAGCGACUUAUAUUCUGUAGCAAGGUUAACCGUAUAGGGGAGCCGGAGGGAAACCGAGUCUUAACCGGGCGUUAAGUUGCAGGGUAUAGACCCGAAACCCGGUGAUCUAGCCAUGGGCAGGUUGAAGGUUGGGUAACACUAACUGGAGGACCGAA